Non-coding RNA from Pelobates cultripes (western spadefoot toad), 84 nucleotides. Lineage: Eukaryota; Metazoa; Chordata; Amphibia; Anura; Pelobatidae. The record is from the annotation of a GenBank genome assembly.
CUGCACUCUCUCCUAAAUCCCUAUGUAUAUUUAAACAAGUGGGGUAAUUUAAAUAUACAUAGGGAUUUAGGAGAGAGCACAGGU